GACGAAGGUUGCGAGCGUUGUUCGAAAUCACUGGGCUUAAAGCGCAUGUAGGCGGCUAAGUAAGCGCUUUGUGAAAUCCCCCGGCUUAACCGGGGAAUUGCUUGGCGAACUGCUUAGCUUGAGGCAAGUAGGGGUGCAUGGAACUCUUGGUGGAGCGGUGGAAUGCGUAGAUAUCAAGAGGAACGCCUGCGGUGAAAACGGUGCACUGGGCUUGUCCUGACGCUGGGAUGCGAAAGCGUGGGGAG
Molecule: ribosomal RNA, 245 nt
Filed under: uncultured bacterium
Lineage: Bacteria
Description: partial 16S ribosomal RNA
Rfam family: Bacterial small subunit ribosomal RNA
Source: RNAcentral